Molecule: unclassified non-coding RNA, 363 nt
Filed under: uncultured bacterium
Lineage: Bacteria
Description: contains 16S-23S intergenic spacer region
Source: RNAcentral
UCCCCGUUGCCGAGGCAGUCUGACUAGAUAUAUACAACUAGCCACGAGGGUUGCGCUCGUUGAAGGACUUAACCUAACAUCUCACGACACGAGCUGACGACAGCCAUGCAGCACCUGUUACCGAGUUCCUUGCGGCACAGUCUGGUUUCCCAGACCUUCUCGGAAUGUCAAACCCAGGUAAGGUUCUUCGCGUCGCGUCGAAUUAAACCACAUGCUCCGCUGCUUGUGCGGGUCCCCGUCAAUUCCUUUGAGUUUUAGCCUUGCGGCCGUACUCCCCAGGCGGGGUGCUUAAUGCGUUAGCUGCGGCACGGACGGAGUCGACACCGCCCACACCUAGCACCCAUCGUUUACGGCGUGGACUAC